RNAcentral lists this long non-coding RNA (1089 nucleotides) under Felis catus (domestic cat). RNAcentral describes it as "lncRNA (ENSFCAG00000047731.1)". Lineage: Eukaryota; Metazoa; Chordata; Mammalia; Carnivora; Felidae. The record is from RNAcentral.
CACGACCACAGGGGUGCAGGGGUGGCCCUGACAGAAACGGGGGGGGGGGGCGAGGAAGGCGUUUGGAUGGUGUGUGCACCCCCACGCCCGGGAUUCACGUAAGGAUGAAAUGAGAACAUUUGGAACCACUGUCUGCUGAGUUCCCCCCCUCCCCCCCUUUCGUGCCAGGCAGUGGACAGCAGGGAACAGCACAGGCAAAAGUCCCGCCCUCCCGGUGCUUCCAUUCCAAUCGGGUGAGGCAGGAAAGUAAAUAGAUCAGUAAGAGUGGGAGUGUGCUAGGUGUUGUAAAGUGGUAGUGGAGAAUGUAGUGGGAGAGGGGGCGGGGGGAGUGCAGAACAGCCGUUGGCCAAGGAGGCGUUUGAAGCAGAUUCCAGGGCAAGAGGUGUGGCUGUCUGGGGAAGAGGGGGACCCCGUGGAAGGAAUAACAGGUGCCUAGGCCAGGAAGGCUGCAGGUCAGGUGGGUCCUAGGAGCUGCAGGGAGGCUCGAGUCGGGGAUGCCGUCAGAGAGGAGCCAGUCUGCCGGGCCUCACAGGCCCUGCCUAAGCCUUAGGCUCUUCCUGCAAGUGAGAUGGGGCCUCUGGAGGCGACCAGAGCAAGGACAGGAGCCGACUUCAGUUAAGCAGGAUCACGCCGUGUGGACUUAGGUUGUACGAAAAUCUCUCAACGCACUGGAAGAAGACGCAAUGUUCACCCACAUUUGGAAGACUUCCCCUCAAUAUUCAUGGCAUAAUGACUGGAUCCCCAGGAGGAAGGUGGCUCUCCCUUCCACUGAAGGAGUCGCGGUUGUGGAAGGAAAUUUCAUCACCACUGGAGACUGCAGUUGACUUUUCCAGGGACACCGCCGUAGCUGGAGACUCAAGCAUCCUCAGUGGUGGCACAUUGUCCCACUAGGAAAAACAGUUUCCAUUUUUUGGAAGUCGAGUCAGGCCCGGUGAAUACACUAAAUGUUUUAAGCUGACCUGGUGAGGGAGAAACAGCAGGGCCAAUUUUCUUGUAUGGUCCAUAAAUCAAUCCAAUUCCUAGAAAGGAAUUCCGAGAAUACUUUGGCAGCAGCCUUGGAAUAAAUGUAGAUGGCUUCCCGGGAUGACA